AACCUAUAACAAGCAAAGGAGUUUGUGGUUAAUAUCCCAGAGGAUAUUUCUGUCUCUGUGUUGAAGACUGUGUGAGGUGUGCUGUGAAGACUGUUGUGACUAAUGUUUUGGAAGCGGGCCUGGUGCUGCAGUUUGGGUGCUGAAGUUUUUUUUGUUUUUUUUGAAAAAUGUGUAUUUUGUGGCAGUCCUCAUUGAUGCCUG
This 201-nucleotide long non-coding RNA is filed under the name Lathyrus oleraceus (garden pea). RNAcentral describes it as "Pisum sativum (pea) long non-coding RNA (PSAT_LNC025292)". The record is from RNAcentral. Lineage: Eukaryota; Viridiplantae; Streptophyta; Magnoliopsida; Fabales; Fabaceae.